GGACCGGCCAACUACGUGCCAGCAGCCGCGGUAAUACGUAGGGUCCGAGCGUUGUCCGGGAAUUACUGGGCGUAAAGAGCUCGUAGGGUGGUUUGUCGCGUUGUUCGUGAAAACUCACAACUCAAUUUGUGGGCGUGCGGGCGAUACGGGCAGACUAGAGUACUGCAGGGGAGACUGGAAUUCCUGGUGUAGCGGUGGAAUGCGCAGAUAUCAGGAGGAACACCGGUGGCGAAGGCGGGUCUCUGGGCAGUAACUGACGCUGAGGAGCGAAAGCGUGGGGAGCGAACAGGAUUAGAUACCCUGGUAGUCCACGCCGUAAACGGUGGGUACUAGGUGUGGGUUUCCUUCCUUGGGAUCCGUGCCGUAGCUAACGCAUUAAGUACCCCGCCUGGGGAGUACGGCCGCAAGGCUAAAACUCAAAGAAAUUGACGGGGGCCCGCACAAGCGGCGGAGCAUGUGGAUUAAUUCGAUGCAACGCGAAGAACCUUACCUGGGUUUGACAUGCACAGGACGUGCCUAGAGAUAGGUAUUCCCUUGUGGCCUGUGUGCAGGUGGUGCAUGGCUGUCGUCAGCUCGUGUCGUGAGAUGUUGGGUUAAGUCCCGCAACGAGCGCAACCCUCGUCCUAUGUUGCCAGCGGGUUAUGCCGGGGACUCGUAGGAGACUGCCGGGGUCAACUCGGAGGAAGGUGGGGAUGACGUCAAGUCAUCAUGCCCCUUAUGUCCAGGGCUUCACACAUGCUACAAUGGCCGGUACAAAGGGCUGCGAUGCCGUGAGGUGGAGCGAAUCCUUUCAAAGCCGGUCUCAGUUCGGAUCGGGGUCUGCAACUCGACCCCGUGAAGUCGGAGUCGCUAGUAAUCGCAGAUCAGCAACGCUGCGGUGAAUACGUUCCCGGGCCUUGUACACACCGCCCGUCACGUCAUGAAAGUCGGUAACACCCG
Molecule: ribosomal RNA, 939 nt
Filed under: Mycobacterium sp.
Lineage: Bacteria; Bacillati; Actinomycetota; Actinomycetes; Mycobacteriales; Mycobacteriaceae
Description: bacterial SSU rRNA
Rfam family: Bacterial small subunit ribosomal RNA
Source: RNAcentral